Molecule: ribosomal RNA, 459 nt
Filed under: uncultured bacterium
Lineage: Bacteria
Description: partial 16S ribosomal RNA
Rfam family: Bacterial small subunit ribosomal RNA
Source: RNAcentral
CCUACGGGAGGCAGCAGUGAGGAAUAUUGGUCACUGGGCGCGAGCCUGAACCAGCCAAGUCGCGUGAGGGACGCCGGUCCUAUGGAUUGUAAACCUCUUUUGUAGGGGAGCAAAAGAAGCCACGCGUGGCGUUCCGAGAGUACCCGAAGAAAAAGCAUCGGCUAACCCCGUGCCAGCAGCCGCGGUAAUACGGAGGAUGCGAGCGUUGUACGGAUUUAUUGGGUUAAAAGGGUGCGCAGGCGGAAGAUAAAGGCAGCGGGAAAAGUGAGAGGAUCAACCGCUUCGAGCCGUUGAAACUGGUUGUCUUGAGUGAGCGAGAAGUAUGCGGAAUGCGUGGUGUAGCGGUGAAAUGCAUAGAUAUCACGCAGAACUCCGAUUGCGAAGGCAGCAUACCGGCGCUCAACUGACGCUCAUGCACGAAAGUGUGGGUAUCGAACAGGAUUAGAUACCCGUGUAGUC